UGGGGAAUAUUGGACAAUGGGCGAAAGCCUGAUCCAGCAAUGCCGCGUGAGUGAUGAAGGCCUUAGGGUUGUAAAGCUCUUUUACCCGGGAUGAUAAUGACAGUACCGGGAGAAUAAGCCCCGGCUAACUCCGUGCCAGCAGCCGCGGUAAUACGGAGGGGGCUAGCGUUGUUCGGAAUUACUGGGCGUAAAGCGCACGUAGGCGGCUUUGUAAGUUAGAGGUGAAAGCCCAGGGCUCAACCCUGGAAUUGCCUUUAAGACUGCAUCGCUUGAAUCAUGGAGAGGUGAGUGGAAUUCCGAGUGUAGAGGUGAAAUUCGUAGAUAUUCGGAAGAACACCAGUGGCGAAGGCGACUCACUGGACAUGUAUUGACGCUGAGGUGCGAAAGCGUGGGGAGCAA
Molecule: ribosomal RNA, 399 nt
Filed under: uncultured bacterium
Lineage: Bacteria
Description: bacterial SSU rRNA
Rfam family: Bacterial small subunit ribosomal RNA
Source: RNAcentral